Molecule: non-coding RNA, 148 nt
Filed under: Homo sapiens (human)
Lineage: Eukaryota; Metazoa; Chordata; Mammalia; Primates; Hominidae
Source: Rfam by way of RNAcentral
GCCGGGCAUGGUGGCACAUGCCUAUAGUCCUAGUUACUCAGGAGGCUGAGGCAGGAGGAUCACUUGAGCCCAGGAGAUCAAGGCUACAGUGAGCCAUGAUUGCACCACUGCACUCCAGCCUGGGUGACAGAGUGAGAUCCUGUCUCAA